GCAUCGGUGGUUCAGCGGUAGAAUGCUCGCCUGCCACGCGGGCGACCCGGGUUCGAUUCCCGGCCGAUGCA
Molecule: transfer RNA, 71 nt
Filed under: Heliconius melpomene (postman butterfly)
Lineage: Eukaryota; Metazoa; Arthropoda; Insecta; Lepidoptera; Nymphalidae
Description: tRNA HMEL002593
Rfam family: tRNA
About the family: Transfer RNA (tRNA) molecules are approximately 80 nucleotides in length. Their secondary structure includes four short double-helical elements and three loops (D, anti-codon, and T loops).
Source: RNAcentral